RNAcentral lists this ribosomal RNA (419 nucleotides) under uncultured ammonia-oxidizing beta proteobacterium. RNAcentral describes it as "bacterial SSU rRNA". It matches the Rfam family "Bacterial small subunit ribosomal RNA", at positions 197 to 597 of the family's 1533-position model. The record is from RNAcentral. Lineage: Bacteria; Pseudomonadati; Pseudomonadota; Betaproteobacteria.
UGGAGGAAAGCAGGGGAUCGCAAGACCUUGCGCUUUUGGAGUGGCCGAUGCCUGAUUAGCUAGUUGGUGGGGUAAUGGCCUACCAAGGCGACGAUCAGUAGUUGGUCUGAGAGGACGACCAGCCACACUGGGACUGAGACACGGCCCAGACUCCUACGGGAGGCAGCAGUGGGGAAUUUUGGACAAUGGGCGAAAGCCUGAUCCAGCAAUGCCGCGUGAGUGAAGAAGGCCUUCGGGUUGUAAAGCUCUUUCAGUCGAGAAGAAAAGGUUGUGACUAGUAAUCACAACUCAUGACGGUAUCGACAGAAGAAGCACCGGCUAACUACGUGCCAGCAGCCGCGGUAAUACGUAGGGUGCGAGCGUUAAUCGGAAUUACUGGGCGUAAAGGGUGCGCAGGCGGCUUUGUAAGUCAGAUGUGA